This 253-nucleotide ribosomal RNA is filed under the name uncultured bacterium. RNAcentral's name for it is "partial 16S ribosomal RNA". It matches the Rfam family "Bacterial small subunit ribosomal RNA", at positions 524 to 776 of the family's 1533-position model. The record is from RNAcentral.
UACAGAGGGGGCAAGCGUUGUUCGGAAUUACUGGGCGUAAAGGGCGCGUAGGCGGCCUGCUAAGUCGAACGUGAAAUCCCUGGGCUCAACCCAGGAACUGCGUCCGAUACUGGUUGGCUUGAAUCCGGGAGAGGGAUGUGGAAUUCCAGGUGUAGCGGUGAAAUGCGUAGAUAUCUGGAGGAACACCGGUGGCGAAGGCGGCAUCCUGGACCAACACUGACGCUGAGGAGCGAAAGCGUGGGGAGCGAACAGG